CCCUAUCUCAGCCCCACCCCUCCGGUUUGACCAGGAAAAAAGAAAAAGGAGGACGCGAGACGAGACGAAACGAACGAACCAGAUGAAGGGGUUGAGGGGGGCUUUUUUGUUAGGGUUCGCCGUGGGUGUGCCGGUACCGGCGGGUGGGGAGGAGGGGAGGGAGGGGUUUGGGAUCCAUCGUCGUGGUAGUGGUGGUGGUGGCGCCCUCGGAGGGGCGGAGCGUCCAGGGACUCGGAGGUCGGGCCGCGGCUAGACUCGGGGGCGGCGAUCCAGAGAGCCCUCCCCUUUCGCGCAGAAAAAAAAUCGGAAACAGAAAAGCCGACACGAGCCACCCUUGAGGGCUCGAAGCCGCCUCGUAAAGAGCCCCUCCCGCCCCUACCUCGGCGCCCAACCCUUGUUCAAAGCCGAGCCGGCGUUCUAGCCGUCGCCGAGGAAGCCCCUCUAGAUAGAGCCCUGUUUAUAGGUCUGGUUGCUCCUCCACCGCUAAUUCGACCUUUUACACUUCUGUUUUGUAGGAGUCGACGAGAUGCUUAGUUUCUAAAUGUCCUAAAACGUUCCUCCUUGACCUUAGGGUUUACAGUCCACCAAACCACAUCUUCCUCUGAUGUUACAGAAUCAGUACCUAAACGACCCCGGUUCAGACCUCCUAGAUAAAUUAAAAACGUCGUCUUUUAAUAGAGAGUUCUGACAUGAAUACGAACGGCUAGUCUACUAUUUAGCUCACCUUAAGCAGGUAAGGUUCAGUAAAGACGUAGCUCUGUAAUUCGGUCUAUUAAAAGAGUACCCAGAACCAUCCGCCCGAUUAGUCCAGAUACAAUAUCUAAAACCAGAACGGUUUUUCAUGUCCCUAUGGAGUUGAGUAGUUGUGUAGGGUAUGUCUCUCUUGUUUUUGAACUGACCCUGUCGUUCUAUACGUUCACACUUGUGAGUAGAACCGUAACUUGUUUCAGCUUCUCUACUGAACCUUAGAGAACCUAUACAAGAAUACAUGAAGGAUGCCCCUUCGGAAGGAACCGUUCCAGACUUUCGUCCUUGCUUCUUCGUCUUCAUACUCUUUUAGUCACUCUUUUUUCAACGUUGUAGUUAACUCCGAGACACAGCACCCAUAGGAUGACUCAAGUGUAGUAUAAAGGUAAUAACGGCGAGCGAAGCCAAACUACUGUUCGGACUAAUAAGGAUGGAAUUCGCUGACAAGGCACUGGAGAAAUAGGCACUUCCAAAAGUCAAACUGAUACAUAAACUGACCUGUUAUGACUUCAUGGUCGUUAGAGUUUAACGAUCACGGGGCGGAGCACAACGCCCGGUACCACGUCCUGGAAGACCCAACUGUGGUGGACAUAACGUCUUACUAUCAGUUAGACCACGGCAACUUCCCUCCUAAUCACCAACCAGUCGUUACCUGGCUGCAGCACGGGGUGGUGGGUAACGUUCGCACCCCUGAAGUUUAUUCGUCUUUCGGGGACAUCCUUUACUACGAGGAUAAAGAUUUCUGGGACGCUAUAGACCGAACUUAAAAAACCCCGCCAGUUCACCUAGCAGUUCCUCUCGACGACAAAGUUCAUCGGCCCUACGACACCGUUCGCUGUGAAAACUCGGAAGUGCUAGUGCGUGCUGACUACGUUCGGGACCACGUAAGGCAUCUUGGAGUCCACGAGUCUCUUCGGGUGGCCAACUAAGACGUCUUGGUGUCGCAAGGAGAAGCCGGGCCGUGAGUAGAUUGGGCUUCUUGAUGCUCAGACGGGAGUUUCCAUAACUUCCAGAAUUAAAACUACCGCUACUCUCCCGAGUCAUGAUCAUCGUGACUCUUUUGCUAAGAUGAAGGUGCACACGACACAUAUUUAAUAUUAGACUUCUAUUCGUGUCGUAAAGGACAACUCAAAACCUAGUGUCCUCUACGAUGCUCCUCCUACACUUCACGAUAACGGUCUACUACCCCACCACCAGAAGACCUGUGCCAUUUAUUCACCAGUCGGGCUCCGUGUUCCUUACAUCGAGAGUAUUAAAUUACACUAACCCCACGAAGACAUUUACAGAAAUUAGAAAUAUCAAAUGAUACACCGCGAACAGCUCAAACAACAUAAUAAAGAUAAGGAAUGCCACGCGGAACAGGUCAACGGUAACAGAACCGUGUCGGUUCACGUCGAACAUCCUGAAACAGAAACCUUUGACCUUGAACUGGUACAUCUUAAAAAAGCAGCCAAGUAGCUUGUUUAAUGUUUAAACCGACCAUUGUAAAGGACUGAUAAUUACACGGAAACUCCUCGUUACAGCACACCGAAAAAUCUCUACACAAAGCAUUUCACCGUAGAGAAAAUUGCAGACACGGC
RNAcentral lists this ribosomal RNA (2327 nucleotides) under Triticum aestivum (bread wheat). RNAcentral describes it as "partial small subunit ribosomal RNA". Lineage: Eukaryota; Viridiplantae; Streptophyta; Magnoliopsida; Poales; Poaceae. The record is from RNAcentral.